Molecule: long non-coding RNA, 815 nt
Organism: Schistocerca nitens (vagrant locust)
Lineage: Eukaryota; Metazoa; Arthropoda; Insecta; Orthoptera; Acrididae
Exons: 4
Source: RefSeq, a predicted model, not a curated record
AGUAGCGAGCGCAGAUCGGCGAGUCGCGACACGCGCCGAGCUGUCACCAGAGAUCGCCACGCCAUGGCAGAGCUGGAACCUCUCGACGCGGGCGGCGUCUGGGUGUGGGACGCCGAAGCCGACGCCGAUGAUCGGGUCGUGGACUGCCUGCAGCCAGCACCCUACAGCGACGACCAAGCCCAAGAUGAAACCGAUGUGACGGACAAGUGCAGACUCCUCCACGACCUUGCAUGAUGACGAUGCUUUCGCCACCCGAGUCCAGUUUGUCGACGAUUGAUUCGCUGCACCUGCAAACAUCAACACCACCCAGUACAUCAUCAUCAGUGUGGUACAGGCUGAUGCCACUAACUCAUUUGCCAUCACAGCCACACUCUCCACACCCUGAGCCAUCUUUGAAUCGUCAUUGACCUUCGUCUCCAGGUGCACUCGAUGAUAAUACUGUGAUGAUGAGAUGGAGGACAUACGCAGACACAGGUUUCCACCUGAACAACAACUCCAUAACUCAAUACGAUGAUGAUGCAUUCGUCACCCCAGCCCAAUUUGUUGAUGAUGUAUUCGCCACACCUAGGUAAACCACCACAGCCUGGCCUAUCAUCAUCAAAACAGUAUGCACUGAUGACACAUAAUGCCACCCCAAAACAUCAGGGAACCUCCACCUUGCUACACUCGCUGGACAGUGUGUCUAAAGCGUUCAGCCUGACCGGGUUGCCUCCAAACACGUCUCCGACGAUUGUGUGGUUGAACGCAUAUGCGACACUCAUCGGUGAUGCAAAAUCCUGAGCGAUCCAUUUGGCAUUUUGUUGGACCUAUCUGUA